Molecule: long non-coding RNA, 306 nt
Filed under: Solanum tuberosum (potato)
Lineage: Eukaryota; Viridiplantae; Streptophyta; Magnoliopsida; Solanales; Solanaceae
Description: long non-coding RNA (STUB_LNC003410)
Source: RNAcentral
GAAAAUUGACAUUUUGUAAGUGAACAAUUUACUAAGAUGAUAAUUAUUUAUCCUCAAAUAAUUUAAGUGGAAAAAAAGGCAAACAUGGCAACAAAAUUGUUCUUCUCAUAGCUAGUUAGAAGGCCAUAAAAAAAUAAUAUUGUCUAGCAAUUAUUUACCUUAACUCAAUUACAUAAUAAUUCAAGGGUAAAAUUGGAAAGAAGUUUUUUAUAAAGUUUUAAUCCAAACACAAGAUGAGGUGGGAAAUAAUGAACCAAACACUUGAUAAAAAUAAACUCUGCAUUACUAAUCCCUGCAUUAUUAAUC